UACGGAGGGUGCGAGCGUUAAUCGGAAUUACUGGGCGUAAAGCGCAUGCAGGUGGUGGAUUAAGUCAGAUGUGAAAGCCCGGGGCUCAACCUCGGAAGGUCAUUUGAAACUGAUUCACUAGAGUACUGUAGAGGGGGGUAGAAUUUCAGGUGUAGCGGUGAAAUGCGUAGAGAUCUGAAGGAAUACCAGUGGCGAAGGCGGCCCCCUGGACAGAUACUGACACUCAGAUGCGAAAGCGUGGGGAGCAAACAGG
This 253-nucleotide ribosomal RNA is filed under the name uncultured bacterium. RNAcentral describes it as "partial 16S ribosomal RNA". It matches the Rfam family "Bacterial small subunit ribosomal RNA", at positions 524 to 776 of the family's 1533-position model. The record is from RNAcentral.